AAAUUGAAGAGUUUGAUCAUGGCUCAGAUUGAACGCUGGCGGCAGGCCUAACACAUGCAAGUCGAACGGUAACAGGAAUCAGCUUGCUGAUUCGCUGACGAGUGGCGGACGGGUGAGUAAUGUCUGGGAAACUGCCUGAUGGAGGGGGAUAACUACUGGAAACGGUAGCUAAUACCGCAUAACGUCGCAAGACCAAAGAGGGGGACCUUCGGGCCUCUUGCCAUCGGAUGUGCCCAGAUGGGAUUAGCUAGUAGGUGGGGUAACGGCUCACCUAGGCGACGAUCCCUAGCUGGUCUGAGAGGAUGACCAGCCACACUGGAACUGAGACACGGUCCAGACUCCUACGGGAGGCAGCAGUGGGGAAUAUUGCACAAUGGGCGCAAGCCUGAUGCAGCCAUGCCGCGUGUAUGAAGAAGGCCUUCGGGUUGUAAAGUACUUUCAGCGGGGAGGAAGGGAGUAAAGUUAAUACCUUUACU
Molecule: ribosomal RNA, 476 nt
Filed under: Escherichia coli
Lineage: Bacteria; Pseudomonadati; Pseudomonadota; Gammaproteobacteria; Enterobacterales; Enterobacteriaceae
Description: bacterial SSU rRNA
Rfam family: Bacterial small subunit ribosomal RNA
Source: RNAcentral